AUCCAGUCAAAGGAUAGUGAGUUAUCUCAGUUGACUGUUUACAGUCAGUUACAGAUAGAAUUCCUUGUUUUAUUCUUUGUUUCUCACUACUGCACGUGACUAGUUUUUA
This is an unclassified non-coding RNA of Otolemur garnettii (small-eared galago), 109 nucleotides long. It matches the Rfam family "Y RNA". From Rfam's summary of the family: Y RNAs are components of the Ro ribonucleoprotein particle (Ro RNP), in association with Ro60 and La proteins. The Y RNAs and Ro60 and La proteins are well conserved, but the function of the Ro RNP is not known. The record is from Ensembl. NCBI's taxonomy places the organism in Eukaryota, Metazoa, Chordata, Mammalia, Primates, Galagidae.